UUUUAAUCUUUGAGUUGUUAGGAUACAAGUGGUACAACUUGAUAAUUCUAAAACUCUAUUUAUUUAACUUAUUUAUUUUAUUUUAUUUAUUUAUUCAUUUAUUUAUUUUAAUGAACUAAUCUAAAAUCGACCUAUUUAUUAGAUGUAACUCUUUUUUAUCUCUGAGUUGUUAAAACACAAGUUGUACUACUUGGUGGUUUUGAAACUCAAUUUAAAAAUCGAGAAUAAUAAAAUAUUUUUUUUAGAGGAUUAAAUUAGAUGUGACAUCU
This 269-nucleotide long non-coding RNA is filed under the name Cicer arietinum (chickpea). RNAcentral's name for it is "long non-coding RNA (CARI_LNC002771)". Lineage: Eukaryota; Viridiplantae; Streptophyta; Magnoliopsida; Fabales; Fabaceae. The record is from RNAcentral.